Long non-coding RNA from Vidua chalybeata, 1026 nucleotides. RefSeq lists it as uncharacterized. NCBI's taxonomy places the organism in Eukaryota, Metazoa, Chordata, Aves, Passeriformes, Viduidae. The record is from RefSeq and is a predicted model, not a curated record. The transcript is spliced from 3 exons.
GCUGUUCUCAAUCAGUUCCCUAUUUUCACUCUGUUUAUUGUGAUCUGCUGAGGCUGUUGCUGCCUUUUGGAAGGGGUGUAGGUCUCUGGUAUAAGCACACACCUCUUUGCCAGGUUUCAUCCUGCUGAAGUUUAGCUCUUGAAUAGGCUGGAAAGUAUUCCUACAUUUGUCUGUGAUUCUCCCUGCAGAUUUCCAUGAGAGGUGGAAAGUCAUCAGAAAUAUGCAUCUUCCCCUCAGAUGCACCUGAUCCUGUAGGAAUCAUGAGUGAGAGCAGGAGAAGGAUGAAUCUCCUGUGAUGAUCUGGCUGUACAUGCUCAUCCCUUGAUUUCUGAAGAUCUGGACUUUUCCUGAAGUGCAACGAUCCCCCUGGAUUCAAACACACCUGCAGUAUCCUACACAGCACAGCUGGGACAUAGCUCUGGAUGACAGGACACAGGGUUCUGCUGUACUUCACACCCCUGCUGAUCCAGACUGUACUGAUAGAAGAAAAAGUCCAUUUUCUCUUCCCCAAAGGAUGGUUACCUCCAAAGUGAAUCACAGAAGCAAAGAAUGGGGAAUCUCUGAUACCUCUUUUCAAGGAAGAAAGAGAAAGGCAAAUCUCAGUAGGCUGCAACACAGAAUGACAGGAUCACAGCUAUUGCUGGUUCUUGCUCUCACUUUGAGAAGGCAACUCAUAUUGCAGCUGACAGAAAGUCAGUUUCAGUAUAUAAGAGCAUCAACCAGAUCCUUUGUACUGUGACACAGAAGAAGCUUUCUUCUUAUAGAAGAUCUCCAAUGGGAUGAUGAUAUUUUAAAUUUGAAGGGAAACAUUGAUGACAAGUGUUACUGAAGGUGAGAAUAAGAAAGCAAACAAAGCCAUGCUGACAUGAGUACAGCAAAAUCAAUCAGUUUCUAAAUUUAGAAUUAAAUUAAUAAAUUAAAGAACUGAAUGAUCUUUCUCAAGUUGUUACAGACAUCUAGGAAAAAAAACAGUGUGAAUUAGAAACAUACCUAUUUAAUGGACUUUUCCUUCCUUCCUUCCUUCCU